AACUGAUACUACCUGCGGGAACCUGCGGAGGGAUCAUUGCCGAUUCAUUCGUGGGGGAGAAGAGGCGACUCUCUCCCCCGACCGACACCUCUGUGCACUCUGGAGGGGACCCGAGAGGGGGCCCUCCUGCUUACGAACGCCUUGUAGUCUCGCGCGUGUCAGAAACGAAAUAAGAAAGAAACACAACUUUCAACAAUGGAUCUCU
Molecule: unclassified non-coding RNA, 205 nt
Filed under: soil metagenome
Description: partial contains 5.8S ribosomal RNA, internal transcribed spacer 2, and large subunit ribosomal RNA
Source: RNAcentral